UACGGAGGGUGCAAGCGUUAAUCGGAAUUACUGGGCGUAAAGCGCACGCAGGUGGCUGAGUCAGUCGAUUGUGAAAGCCCUGGGCUUAACCUGGGAAUUGCAGUCGAUACUACUCAGCUAGAGUAUGGGAGAGGGUAGUGGAAUUCCCGGUGUAGCGGUGAAAUGCGUAGAUAUCGGAAGGAACAUCAGUGGCGAAGGCGGCUUUCUGGACAGAUACUGACACUGAGGCACGAAAGCGUGGGGAGCAAACAGG
Molecule: ribosomal RNA, 253 nt
Filed under: uncultured bacterium
Lineage: Bacteria
Description: partial 16S ribosomal RNA
Rfam family: Bacterial small subunit ribosomal RNA
Source: RNAcentral